UCUUGGCCAGGAUAAUCCAUUAGAUAGAUUUGAUAUUUUGAAAUACGAUAUGGAUAACCUGAUCAGAGUUGACAGUUGAACUCUGAGGUGUCCUAUGAGCAUUUUGGUCAAAGGGAUGAAUUAUAUGAAAACUGUAUCCGCAUGGGUUCUAAAGAUGUUGUUUUACACAUUCGACCUAUCCGACCAUCGGAUACCAUUACUAGAUGGUCACUUAGAUUGGUACAAAAAUUUAUUCCUGUGCUACCAACUUAGGUUCGAAUCUAUGAGGUCAUACACAUUAGAGUUUACGAUCCGAUCGGAUG
RNAcentral lists this long non-coding RNA (302 nucleotides) under Elaeis guineensis (African oil palm). RNAcentral describes it as "long non-coding RNA (EGUI_LNC065310)". The record is from RNAcentral. Lineage: Eukaryota; Viridiplantae; Streptophyta; Magnoliopsida; Arecales; Arecaceae.